RNAcentral lists this long non-coding RNA (355 nucleotides) under Elaeis guineensis (African oil palm). RNAcentral describes it as "long non-coding RNA (EGUI_LNC073252)". The record is from RNAcentral. Lineage: Eukaryota; Viridiplantae; Streptophyta; Magnoliopsida; Arecales; Arecaceae.
GUAAGGCCUCUCCCUCCAUCCGGUCUAAAAGAACCGGGCCUUUGACUUUGCUCAUGUCAGGACGAGGUUCUCCUCCUGUUCCUGACAUGGCUGUGGGGGCAUAUUAGGGCGUUGUCAGGCCUCUCCCCCCAUCCAGUCUAAAAGAACCGGGCCUUUGACGUUGCUCAUGUCAGGAUGAGGUCCUCCUCCUGUUCCUGACAUGGCUGUGGGGGCACAUUAGGGCGUUGUAAGGCCUCUCCCCCCAUCCGGUCUAAAAGAACCGAGCCUUUGACUUUGAUCCUGUCAGGACGAGGUUCUCCUCCUGUUCUUGGCAUAACUUCAUUUUUGAAGGGGUCAUAUCCAGUCAUACUAAAUC